RNAcentral lists this long non-coding RNA (18036 nucleotides) under Vitis vinifera (wine grape). Its description in RNAcentral is "long non-coding RNA (VVIN_LNC004233)". Lineage: Eukaryota; Viridiplantae; Streptophyta; Magnoliopsida; Vitales; Vitaceae. The record is from RNAcentral.
CUGCCCUGUGAAUCACCAAAAUCUUCCUAAACUCCAUUCCUUGUAGUUAUUCACCGAUGUUCCGUUCUCUUCUCAACUCCAAUUCAAAUCUUCUUCGCAUCUUCUCCUUCAGACCGCUCUCCUCCGCCACCGCCACCUCCACCGUAGAUUACCUCACAAAUACCCUAGGCUUCGCCCGCGAGUCAGCCAUCGCUGUCGCCGAGAAACUCAACAUCAAAACCACCACCAGGCCCGAUUCAGUGGUCCAACUUUUCAAAAGCUAUGGUUUCACCCCAACUCACAUCGCCACCAUCGUUUCCAAGCUUCCUUCUCUCCUCUUAGCCAACCCGGUUAAAACCCUCGCACCCAAGCUUCAAUUCCUCUCCAAUAAUGGCGUCUCCGGCUCUUCCCUCGUCAACAUUGUCUCCACCAACCCUGUGAUACUCAGACGGAGCUUGCAGAACCAAAUCAUCCCCUGCAUUUCCUUCCUCAAAAAGGUCUUACCCACCGAUCACAAAAUCGCUUCUCUCCUCACUGCCAAGCGCGGCACUUGGGUCGUCUACAAGUUUUCUGAACAAAUGGUGCCAAACAUCGAGACUCUGCGAAGCCAUGGUGUGCCGGAGUCGAAUAUUUUGCGGAUGCUGAUCUUGCGACCGCGGACGCUGUCGUUCAAUGCUGAUGAGUUUAAGGCAAUCCUUAAGAGGGUUAAGGAAAUGGGGUUUGAUGAAAAGGGUAUGAUGUUCAUUCAUGGGAUGUGCGCAUUAUGUGGAAUGAAGAAGGCGAAAUGGGAGUCAAAAGUGAGUGUCUUCAGGAGUUUUGGUUGGGGGGAGGAGGAGUUUAUAGCGUUAUUUGUGAAGCAGCCCCAGUUUAUGAGCAACUCAGAAACAAGGAUUAGGAAAUGCUUGGAUUUUCUCAUUAAUGAGUUGAAUUGGAUGCCGGAGGAUAUUUUCAAGUACCCAAUGGUGCUGUUACUUAGCUUGGAGAAGAGAGUGGUUCCCAGGUCUCGUGUCCUUCAGCUUCUGAUUGGAAAGGGUCUUGUGACUAGGAGAAGUAUAGGAAGGGCAUUGAUAAUCUCUGAAGAUCGGUUCAUGAAAGUGUUCAUGUCCAGUUAUGAAAAGAAGAUCCCAGAGCUGUUGGAGGUUUACCAAAGUAAUAAAGUGGGAUUGCUACAGUAAGCAGUUUUAGUUUGAGGAAGGCUUGCAGCUACAAUUUAAGUAAGAUAUGCAUUUCUAAAAGAAUUUGUUGUUUCUUCUUGAGUAUGAUUAGAUUUAUAUGGUUACUUGGAAAAGGAUUUGAAAAAUGAUUCACUUCAAGUAUUUUUAAAUACCAAAAUUUUCUUUUCCACUAACAUUAGUGAUAUUGUAGAUGAGUUUUUGUUUAUCUAAUAUUCAUAAUAUUAGAUAUAUUUUUUCUAGGUCUGGAAAUGAGUAUUGUUAAAAUUUCGGUGAGAAAAUGUAUCCUGAAAGUAUUCCCUUUAGAGCUAACUCAAUUCUGGAUAAGCAAUUUGCAGGAGUACCUCCAAUGAUAUCAUUCUGUUUUAUUUUUUCUUGAACUUUUGUUUAGUAAAUAUCACAGUCAGAAUACUUUUUGUUUAUUUUCCUUGAUUGUACUUGUUGGUUAGAUGAAAAACUUUUAAGUUUCAAAAACUAGCAUUUUUCUUCCAAAUAGUUUGAGAUUCUUUCUUGAUAGAGCCAUUGUUUAAGAGAAGCAGAAGUCUUACAUGCUAUUUUUGGAACUGGAGUUUCAUUUUUAAAUUAAGAGUUUCACCUGAUGUAGAAGAUCCUGCAAUUAAGGAUGAUUCAAUAACAACCUAUAUUUCUGCCUUUUUAAAUCUUGUUUUUGAGCCCACUAAUGCUACUAUUGCUGAUCUCUGCAAUAGUUCCCAAAAUGGCUCUGAUAUUAAUUUUAAGCAGCCAUAAGGAUAUUCGGAUUGCAGAAUUCACCCUCCUCUUUUGAUGCUUGGGGACAUUUAGCCAAUCUGAUGGCCUAGUGGGAAAACUAGCAUGUUUGUUCUAGACCACUAUCUAGGAUGGAUUUUCUGCCUUAAUAUAAUUUUGAUGCUUGCUUUGUGUUUUAUUCUUUUUAUUUUUAUUUAUUUUUCAUUUUCUAUGUAUCUAUUAUGUUAUAUAGACUUCUACCAUUUUUCUAGUUUCUUUAAGUAAUCAUGUGACUUUUGUAGUUGGUUGAAAGGCUGGAGUUUUAAAGGCUGAUCUCUUAGGUGGCUGUAGCUAGUUAGUGGUGUUCUCUGUGAACUUGACAUAAAAAAAGCUUAUGAUCAUAUUAGUGGGAUUUCCUUCUUGUUGGCAUGGAAAGGAUGAGCUUUGGCCUGAAGUGGAUAGGAUGGGAAAAAUGAUGCAUUUCCUUGACUGGAUUCUUAGUUCUUGUUAAUUGGACGCUUGCUAGUUUUUUUAAAGUUUUAGGGGUUUAAGAUAGGGAGAUCCUCUUUCCACUUGUUUGUCUUGAUCAUGCAAUCUCUUAGUUGCCUUUUGAAAAAGGCAGAUCCUCUUUCCACUUGUUUGUUUGUCAUGGCCAUGGAGACUCGUAGUUGCCUUUUAAAAAAACGGGAGAGGGGGUGUCAUCUUGGGGUUAAAGGUGGGAGGGAGAGAGGUAGAGGGGGGAGGAGGUAUUUUAUCUUCUAUUUGUGGAUUAUGCUCUCAUCUUUUGUGAUACUAGCCAAGAACUAGUGACAUUCCUAAGCUAGACUCUCAUGUGGUUUGAGAUAGUUUCUUCACUAAGAAUUAAUUUAGAAAAAGGGGAACUAAUUCCAAUAGAAGUUGCAUCAAAUGUGGAAGAGUUAGUUUUUGGUUUGUGGGUUGGGGGUGCUUCAUGCCACAUAUUUGGGGCUUACUUUAGGUGCCUCUUUUAAAUCAAUCGUAGUAUAGGAUGUAGUGUUAGAGAGAUUUUGAAGAAGACUUACAUUGUGGAAAAGACAAUAUCUUUCAAAAGGGACUAAUCUUUAUUAAUAGCACUUUGUUAAGGUUGACAAUUUAUUUCAUAUCUUUAUUUGUUAUUCCUAUAAAAGUGAGUUUGUGGCUUGAGAAGAUUCAGACCACAUCUUGUGAAUUGGUUAGUUGUUUACGUGGUGGAGUUGGAGUUUUGCAAUGGAAAGGGAAGUUAUUUGAAAAGUGUUAUAGUAGGAAAGUUAGGGAAGAUUUAUGCAAGAGAAGGGAAUAGGCAUGGAGUGGGCCUAUAGAAAACAAUUUGAAAAGAAUAAGAUGUCAUUAAAAGCAGAAAUUGUUUCAUAGUGAGAAAUGGAUGGAGGGUAAAAUUCUAGAAGGAUAGGUGGUAGGGUAAGUCGGCUUUGAGUGAUUCCUUCCAUCUCUUUUUGCUAUUAUCACUACAAAAGACUCUUAAGUAGCGGAUGAGUGGGAGUAGGAGUAAGGAGAUUUUAAAGCCCUUGUUUUAUUAGAUAGUUACAUGACUAGGAAUUCGAAAGAAUGGAUGAAUUCCUCUUAAGAUUACAAACGAAAAUUAUAAGCAAAAAGUGUAGGGAUAAGGUGGUCUACUUAGGAUUGAUGAGUGGUAUGUUUUUUCAAUAAAAUUACUAUACUCUUAUUUGGUAAUGAGGAGAUAUGCUUUCUUCUUGAAAGAUAUUAUUUUGAGCACUUAUUUAUCAACAAAAGAGAGAUUUUUGUAUGGAAAGCAACUUGUGACGACAUACUUACCAUAGUUCAGUGGAAAAAAGAGGUAGAACGUUGAUAAUAAAUGCUUCUCAUGUAAAAAUUAGGAAGAAUCAAUCAACCACAUAUUUCUUCAUUGUACCAAGACAAGGCCAAUAGUCUUCUCAUUGUUUAGUGUAGAAUUGGUGAUGUUGACUUCAACUAAAGAGACCCUUUUAAGUUGGUAGAGAUCCUUUGUGGGGAAGAGAAGAAAGAAAGCAUAGAGGGUUGUCACCUAAUGCAUUUUUUUUUACUGUUUGGAAGGAGAUAAAUAAGAGGUCCUUCGAGGACAUGGAACAAAGGCAUCAAAUGUAUAACUUUCUUUUUUUUUUUUUUUAUAUUUUGGAGUGGGUGAGAAGUGGAAUUAAAUGAAGUGGUAAUGUCUAUGGUAGACUCAACCAAUUCCUUUAGUAUUAUGUAAUGGGAGGUUUUGUUGUUGUUUUUUUUUCUUUUCAAUCUUACCUUUAAUGCCCAUGUAUCUGACUCGUGUAUUGUAGUGCACCAUUGCUCAUGGGCGCUAGUAAUAGAUCUAAUGUUUCAAAUUUCUUUUCCCAGUUUCAAUGGCUUCUAAAGAGAGAGAAAAUCUUAUGGAUGACUUCAAACAACAACUAUGGGAGCUAAAUGUCACGGACUUAGUCGUUCACUAAGCUCGUGCGGCACUUAGACAAGCCAAGACGCUUGAUCUUGCUAAGUCAGCCUUGCUCCCAAUACUUAGCUCACCCGGCUAAGACACUCGCGACUCAAAAGCUUAAGAAGCUUGGUAGGCACUUCCUUAAAGAAUGGAAGCUUUCUAUUACUCAAAGAAGCCUUUACAAGUGCUUGGAUGCUCACUUGCUUGGUGCCUUGGCCAAAUGAGGCCCUCACCUAUUUAUAGGCACCAAUGGAACUCUCUAGAACCUUGGAGGGUUCCUUACAAUUCAUGAAUAUUCUAGAAUGUCCUACACUAUUCUAGAAUAUUCAAGAGACUUCUAGAAUGUCCUACACUAUUCUAGAAUAUUCAAGAGACUUCUAGAUUUCUCUAGAAAGCUUUGGACCCUUCUCAUGCCUUCUACCAUAGUGUAGAGUUGUGUGGACUUCUCUAGGCAUUUCUAGAACCUUCCACACUCUUCCCACCAAUGGCUUAGUGUAGAUGGCUCCAGGAGUCUCCAGAAGCUUCCCUCCUCCUAUAUAAACCCUUGGGGAGGGUCAUUUGAAGCAUCCUGUGACAUAAAGGUAGUUAUUAGUGAAGUUUUUAAUGGCAGUAUUGGGGAAAAUCAAUGGUUAGAGCCCUUGGUGGAGUUUGAUGGUCACAUUGGUGGAAAAUCAAUGGAAACCUUUUCUAUUGGAGUGUGAGUGCACUUUCCUAAUGGAUGAUUGAUGAUAGCUUGUCGAUUGAGUCAAAGAAGGACUUAUUCACUGAAGUUGAGUGUGGGUAUCAAGUGUCAAGUGUAGAGACUAUGUUGUCUAAGUGUGGGCAUUGUUUGUAUUCCUUUAAUAAAGAAAUAAGGAGAAUUUAUAUGAUAUAGUUGGAAAAUACUGCUUUAAAGGGCACCAAGGUUCAGUUUCUCGUACAAAGAUGCUAAAAUAGACAUCAUUAUUUAAAAUCCAUUUAGAAAUUUCAUUGCUUUGCCAAGGAUAUGGAAACAUCAAUAAUAACUACUUUUAGGAAUAAAUAAUGAUACUUGUUAUAAGUGUUAAGAAAUAAAACGUCAAUAAUUUAAUCUUUUAUAAGAGAGUAUAUGAUUGAUUAGUGUCAAAAGAUAAUGCUUUAAACCAUCAACUAGAAUGACAUUUUUUUAUUAAAAAAAAACAUCAUUAAUAAUAUUGCUUUGACCAAUGAUUCAUUCUUUUACAUUAUCUCUAGAGAUAACAAAUUCUUCUUUCUUCUUGGUGAGGGUGAUAACCUUUGACUUAUCUCCUAUCAUAUGAGUACUCACUAUCUAAAAACUACUUUUCAUUCUGUCACACUUACAAGAUAAUUACAUUAUUUUAGAUACCUAUACCUUCUUGGCUCCUUGAGGGUUAGUUUUUUCUAUCAUUUGAAACCCAAAAUGCUUUAGAAUUUGCAACAACAUGAUAUGAUUAUUUUCAAAGGAUGAGUGUUGCUAAUGUGUUUUUUUCUCAUAAAAGUUGCAAAUAGUAAAUGAAUUACUAUUUGAGGAUUCUCUUACAAAAUAAUUUUGAAUUAUUUUUUAUUCCUAGCACCUUUUUAUCAUAAAUGCAUUUUUUACUUGUCAAAAUCAUGUAAAAACCCUUUUACCCAUUUGAAAAUUUUGCAAAAGAAAAUGUUAAUCUUUCUUUCUUUCUUUUGCAAAAUUUCUUUUUCUUUUUCAACAAAGGUUUUUGCUUUUUCAACAUUUUCAAAAUUUUCUUUGUGCUCAUUAAGCUUAUUUUCAAGAUAUGAGAUUUUCUCUUUGAGAGAAGCAUUCCUCAAAUUAAGUGUUUUUUUAAUCAUUAUACAAUUUUUCAAAGGCAUCUUGUAAAUUAUCACAACUUGAGAAAGAGUUUACUUUAUCUUUAUUAUCCUCUAAAGCCAAGAAGCAUAGUUUUGUAACCCCAUUUUCACAUUCUUCCUAUGUAAAUCUUCAUUACUAUCACUCCAUAAUAUCAUUAUUGUGUUUUUCUUCACUUUCUUUACUUUAGUUUUGAAGAGAGGGUGAUCAUACUUGAUGUGCCUCAAUUUCUUUCAUUUGUAACAAAUGUUCUCCUUAUUUUCUUUUUACAAGUUUGAUGAUUAUUUUUUGCUUGAGGCCUUCUUCUUUUGCUCCUUUCAAAUUUCAUGAACGUUUUUAAACUACCUUUAUGAUAGUAAGGCCUUCAAUAUCUUCCUCACUUUCCACUUUUGGUUUUCUUAAAUGAUAGAGGCAUUGAGUGUUAUGGUUCUCUUUUUCUAGUCCUCCACUUCUUGGUGAUUCCUCAAAGUGAUCUCAUGAGUUAUGAGAGAUCUUAUGAACUCUUGUAGGGGAAGCUUAGUAAGGUCUUUUGCUUCUUAAGUUGUGGUGAUCUUAGCUUCCAACUGUUCAACCAAUGACCUUAGAAUUUUCAUCAUUUUUUUGGUUCGAUAUAGACUUUUUUCCCAAAGCUGAAAGAUUGUUAAUGAUAUUGGUGAACCUUGUGAAUAUCUCAACUAUAGUUUCAUUAUUUUUCAUAGAAAGUAAUUCAUGACUACGCACAAGAAUGUUCAUUUUAAAUUCUUUGACUUGAUUUGUUCUUUUAUAGUUUAUCUUAAGAAGUGUUCAUAUAUCUUUUGUUGAUUCAUAUUGAUAAAUCCUAUUAUACUAAUUUCUAUCUACUGCACAAUGAAGAUAAUAAACAACUCUUAUAUUUAAUUAAUCUGUUCUCUUUAUCAUGUUCUUCUAAUUCAUGUCUUAGCUUAAGAAUAAGAAGUUUAUUAUCUAUGUAUUUUGAUUGGCAUAUGAAGCUUCAUUGAUUAACUAUUCCUUUAAGAUGCUUAAGUCCUAUUCUAACGGUCUUGCUUUGAUACUACUUGUGAAAAUAGCCUAAACAAUCCUAGGUUAGCUUUCCAUUACUUAGGAAAUGACCAUAGGAUCUUCUUCACCUUUUUAAAUUUGAUGUAAACCUUUCCCAAAGCUUGGAGAUCAUUAAUGAUGUUAGGGAAACCAAUAAACAUCUCAACAAUGGUUACAUUAUUCUUCAUAAAAAAUAACUCAUAACUAUGUAUAAGGUUGUUUAUAUUAGAUUGUUUGACUUAAUUUAUUCCUUUAUGGGUUAUCUUAAGAAGCAUUCAUAUAUCUUUUUCUAAUUCAUAUUGGCAAACCUGAUUAUACUUAUUUUAUAUAUUGUACUCAUUUUUAUAUAUUGUAUAAUGAAGAUAAUAAAUGACUCUCGCAUUUAAUUGAGUUCUCUUUUAUCAAUUUCAUUACACUCAUGGUGUGGCUUAAGAAUAACAACUCUAUUUUUUACUUUGGUUGGUCUACGAGGCUCAUUAAUGACUUCUCAUAAAUCAUAAUCAAUUGAUUUUAAAAACCAAGUCAUUAUUGUUUCUCAAUUAAAAUAAUCAUAUCCUCAAAAAAUGGGGAUCUAUUAAUUGAAAACCCUUCCAUGAGUUUUCAUUGAUUAAAGUCUUACUCUAAAAGGUCUUACUCUUAUACUACUUAUGAAGACAACCUAAACAAGCAUAAGCAAACACCUAAAGGGGGUGGGGGUGGGGGUGGGGGGCUUAAUGUUGGGUUUAGAGAUUGGAUGUUGGUUUUUUUUUAAUUUUAACAAAUUAAAUUAUAAAUGAUUAAAAAAAAAAAAUGCGAUGCAAGUAAAUAUGGAUAAGGAGAAAGAUACAACUAAAGCAUUUGUUAUGGUUCUGCCUUACCUUUUAAUAGAAGUGUUUCCUCUUCUUCCACCCUAUUUGAUUUAGUUCAUUAUGAUGCGUGGGGAGCUUCUCCAAUUUCUAUAAAAGGAGGGUCUCAAUAUUAUGUUUCCUUCAUUGAUGAUUAUACUUGUUAUUGUUGGGUUUAUCUUAUGAAAUAUCGUUAUGAUUUUUUGAAUAUUUAUAAUGCAUUUCAAGCUGAUGUCAAAACUUGAUAUUAUGCUAUUAUCAAGUGUUUUAAGUGUGAUUUGGGUGGGGAAUAUACUUCCAAUGCAUUUUUUGAAUUACUUGCUUCACAUGGAAUUAUUCACCACACAUCUUGUACUAACACACUAGAGCAAAAUGAGGUUGCUAGAAGGAAACAUAGGCACAUUGUUGAAACUGCUUAUUCUUUUUUAUUAUUUGCAUGUGUUCCUAUUGAAUUUUUUGGGGGAAGCAGUUCUUACUUCAAUUCACUUAAUUAAUAAAUACCUUUUGCCCCACACCUUUGGCCUAUCACCAUUUGAAAAGCUAUAUGGCUAUGCCCAUGAUUACUCUUCCUUAAAAAUCUUUGGUUGUACUUGUUUUUUUUUUCAUCCUCAAGUGCAGUGUAAUAAGUUAUCUACUCACUCCAUCAUUUGUGUUUUUCUAGGAUAUGGUGAAAGUCAAAAGGGAUAUCGUUGCUUUGAUUCAAUUAGUCAUAAAUUAUAUAUUUCUUGUAAUGUUUACUUUCUUAAGCAUAUACCUUUCUUUUCUAUUCUUGUUGAGUCUCAUAAUGUCUCUAAAUCUGAACUUGUUCAUGUUGAUCCUUUCUUGGAUGAUAUAAAUAGUUUUCUUACGUAUAUUAAUGCUUUGGUUCUCGAUCAUUAUGCUCCUUCUCCUUCUACAACUACUCCAACACCUUCUAAGGUUGUGGAUCCUCUUUUCCCACGUUCUUCUCAACAUUUUUGUAAGUUUACUCGAUUACCAAAUUUUGUUUAUUCCUCUUAUUCAGAUUCUUUUACAUUAUUUUUGGCUUUUAUUCACAACCUUUCUAAACCUUUAUUAUAUAGAGAAGUUGUUCUUGAUCCUCUUUUGCAGCAAACUAUGAUUGAAGAACUUUCUACUUUAUAUAAGACCGAUUCUUGGAAUUUAAUACCUUUACCACCUAGUAAGAGUGUCAUUGGCUCUCGUUGAAUCUGUAAAAUCAAAACUAAGUUUGAUGGUUCGAUUAGGUGAUACAAGACUCAAUUGGUUGCUAAGGGGUUUUCUCAACAGUAUGGUAUGGAUUAUGAGAAGACUUUUGCUCUAAUUACAAAGAUGACAACUGUUCAUACUCUUAUUGUAGUUGCUUCUAUUCGUCAGUGGCAUAUAUCUCAAAUGGAUGUUAAAAAUGUCUUCUUAAAUGGUGAUCUUCAAGAAGAAGUCUACAUAGUUCUCCCUCUUGGUGUUUCUCAUAAUCUUGGAGAAGUUUGCAAGCUCAAGAAAGCUUUAUAUAGUCUCAAACAAACACCUCGUGCUUGGUUUGCGAAGUUCUUUGAUGUGCUUACUUCUCUUGGUUUUCACCCUAGUCAUCACGAUCCUAUACUUUUUCUAAAGUGCACCUUUACUAGUCAUAUUCUACUUUGUCUAUAUGUUGAUGAUAUGAAUAUUACAAGUGAUAAUGUUGAUGGGAUUGUAGUGUUGAAAUCCGAUUUAGCCUUUUGUUUUGAAAUGAAGGAUUUAGGUGCUUUACGUUACUUUUUAGGUAUUGAGGUAGUGAUCGAUUGAGUUUUCAUCAUUUAUUGCAUCAAAACACUGUUUUAUAACCUAAUUCACUAUUUUAGAGUAGUUUGUACCUGAUCAAAAAUGGUUUUAGUACAAACUACUGUAAUAUAGUGGUUUUUAGGUGUCGUCCAUUUAUCAAUUAAGGCUUGAAUGAGGGAAAAUAAAUGAUUGUGAUAAAGUGAAAUUGAUUUGACAAUUCAUAGUGAAAAUUCAGAAUAACAAUGAUUUCUAAUUGAGAAAAACAAUAGAAUGUAAAAUAGGAGAAAAUUAAUAAGAAAAAUGAAUUCCCGAAAUUAGGAUUUUUUAGAAAACAAUUUUCAUGGUAAAUGAAUGUUGAGAUCUAUUUUUUAUCAAGUUCGAUUAAAAACCUAAAUUCUCAUCUAAAUCGAUUUUAGAUUUAGCUUUAAGUCUAAACCUAAUUUCUCUUCAAAUUAAGUUAUUUAAUCCAAAAGAUCAAUUUAAACUAUAUAUUCAAUUCAUCUUAAAUUAUCUUCCAAUAAUUUAUACAAUGUAACUAUUCGAUCUCAUUAAAUCCAACUUUAAGAAUUUAAUGAACUUACGUGGUUUGCAAUGUAAUAGUCAUUUAAGAUAAUUUAAAGAGAAAAAUCCUCAAAUUUAAGUAAUCAAUCGAUUGGAUCAAAUUACCUUUACAAUUCAAGCUCAUUUCUCUAAUUCACCAUGAAUCUUGCCUCUAGAUCUUCCUUCCUCUAAGAAAAACGAGAUUUAGCCACUCAUGCUUGGAGAUUUGGUCUUACAAGGCAUAUUUGACUAGUGAGAAAAUGAGGGAAAAUGAAGGAAAAUAGAGAAUUCUAUUAAGAUAGAAAAUAUAGAAAAUUCUACAAUCAAAAGUGUUCAAAAAGUCCUUUAAUGAAAGAUUCAAGUUUUUAUUUAUAAGGUAAGGUCAAGUGGACACUUUGACAUAAUCUAAAAGGUCUUUUGGAACUUUUUCCAUUCAACAAUCUGAAGUUUAACAACAAAAAUAAUCAUUUCCCAUAAGCUUAGCAAUUUUGCAUGGUGACGCAAAAUCAGUGGAGCAACAAUAACAACAAUAGCUUUAUGAAUCAUUUCGCAUGACUACCAAAUUUUCGCAUGGUUAUGCGAAAUCAGCUUACAAAUUCUCUUUAGCUUGCAACACAAAUCCUUCUUUUGGUCCAUUUCGCACGAUCAUGCGAAAUUGCACCAUAUGGUUUUUAAGCUCCUCUUUGGUACUUCAUUUUCUUUUUUGACUCCAUUUUAACUUCCUCCAAUUGACUCCAAAUCCCUAUCCAAUUACAUUACUUCUUCCUUAAAUUGUUAGCCAGUUUGUUACUUCUCCUACUACAGUUCAUAGGGUUACUAUUUUUUGUAUUCUAUGAUAUCUCUGAGGCACUAUAUUUCAAAGUCUUUUAUUUCCAUCCACUUCCUCUUUAGAGCUACGUGGCUAUUUUGAUGCCGACUGAGCUAGUGAUCCUGAAGAUCACAAGUCUAUCACUGGAUUUGUAUAUUUUUAGGAGAUUAUUUUAUGUCUUGGAAGAGCAAGAAACAAACUAUUGUUUCUCGAUCUUCUACAAAUGUGAAGUAUCGUGCCAUGAUGUUUACCACCAAUGGGAUAGUUUGAUUACAUUGGUUACUUGUUGAUAUAGGUGCUUCUCUUUUGUGCCCCACUUUGAUGUAUUGUGACAACAAGAGUGUUAUUCAAAUUGCUCACAAUGAUCCAUUGUUCAUGAAAGGACCAAACAUAUUGAGAUUGAUUGUCACCUCACUUGUCAUCACCUUUAAUAUAAUACUCUUACUUUGCCCUUUGUUCUUUCUUCUUUACAAAUUGCAAAUUUAUUUACCAAGUCAUACCCGUUUCUUCGUUUUCGGUUUUUAGUUGGCAAACUCUUAAUGCUUGUAGCCGCAUUGUGAGUUUGUGGGAGGAUGUUAGAGUUAUUUAUUUAGUAGCAUCUAGUAGUUUUAUUUAGUUAUUUCUUAUUUAGCUACUAUAUUAGAAUUGUUGUAUUUAGAAUUAUUCUCUUUUUAUUUUUUAUUUUUAUUUUUUUAUGUUUUAUUGGGUCUAUUUAAAUCCUAAUGGUGUUGUAUCUUUUUUUUUUCAAGAGAAUUAAUAAUAAGAAAAUCCUAGAUUUUCUUUUUUCUUUUUUUCUCUUUGAAUCUUUUUUUGGAUUUCAACAAUAUCCACAUGUCUUAUGCAUCUUAAUUAGCAUGUGAAGUCCAUUCAUCACCCUGGCUAUGAUGGAAGCUGACUCUAAGACCACCAUUUUAGCCUUUUGAUGAGUCUAUUCCAAUGGCAUGCCAUGUAUUGUGAUCCAAUAUCAUGUAAAUAAGAAGUGGGGUGCAAUCUCUUUGUACACAAGUGAGAUUUAUUGGUCAUCUCCAACUUCCAAACAUGAUUUCUCUAAUCCUUCAUUUUUAAACCCAAAAUUCAAUUGCUUAUAACUCUACCAUUUUAAGUGCAAUUUUGUGCAAACAAUGUAUACUUGCAAAAUUCAUGAUGAGAGCUUUCCAAUGAUAUUAAAACCAUUCAAUUGAAAAGUAGUCACAUCAAAUUUUCACAAUUUUGGGAUUUGAAAACCGGAAAAUUGUUUUCUCAAACUCCAUGUAUGAAAAAAAAUUACCAACUUUUAUGCCAUGUUAUCACAUAUGGUCUUUGCCACAUUACAAAAUUUCACAUCAAAAUAAUGCAUGAAAAAAAUAUUUUGAAAAUAGCCUCAUAAAAUGAUGCAAAAAAUAUGAGUGUUUAUAUAUGAUGUACAUUGUAUUUUGCUUACUAAAAUCACAUUGAGUACAAACAAUUAUCCGAGGCUUCAAUACCGAUUUUGGGAAUUUUAGGAAGCAUUACAAACUCUUAUACCUAUUUGAAAUGCAAAGUUCAAUUCCUUGACAUCUUGUGUGAUAGUCUUUUGAUACUUCUUAAUGACACCAAUUACGUAUAACUUGUAGUGUAGGAUUACUCCUAUAACAAUUAUGAUACUUUCAUAGUUUCAAAGCCGAAAUUUCUUAGAGUGAGAAACUAAGAGAAAGAUUGAGAAUAAAUUUCAUUUUCAAAUUCAAAACUUUUCAUCUAAGAUAAUUAAUUAUCCUUAUAGAGGUUAUAAGGAUUACAAUUAGAUCAAUUGAGAUAGGUGAAGCUUAUCAUUUGUUAUGCACACAAUGAUUAACACUUAAUUAGGCAUUAUUAUGAAGCAAAAAAAAGAGUUUUAACUAAUAAUGGAGUCUAUCUUAAUCGUUCGAUAUGUACAAAGACUAACACUCAAUUGUGCAUUAUCAUGGAGGAUAAAAAGGGAGGUUCAAACUAGUAAUUGAGUACUAAUCAACUUGCAAGCUUGAAUACAUGCUAAGGUCCUUGUCAAGAGACUAAUAGACCUUCUCUAGCAUUUUUACUGUCUAAGAUCUUAAGGGUCAAGUUAAGCAUAUGACAAGUUUUGAAAGUUUACCAUGAGAUGAAGAGGUGGAAAAUUGAAAGAACAUUGGUAGAAACAAAAAUGCCCCCCUUUGGACAAUUUUAGCAAUGAAAAAUGCUUAAGGGAAGGGUGCUCGAAUUAUUUAAAGCCUAAUGCUAGAAUUACCAUAUCCAUCAAAUCAACGAACAGUGCUUUACCCCUAGAUGUCCCAUUAAUUGUUGUGCUUCAACGUAUUUUGGGGAGAACUAGCUAGCUCUAGGUUCGAGUGACAUUUCACCCUUAAUCAUAGCACAUUUGCCGAUUCUUCAACAUCAAUUGAUUUGGACCUCCACUUAGUUUCACCCAACCUUUAUCUUAGUUGUGAAUAGAUCACCUAGGUUUGGGUUCAUAAGCAAUGACAAUUGUCCUAUGAAGACUACAAUUACUUCAUUCAAUAAUUAUUUGAUCAAACUUUAAUGUCAUGAUAUUAAUUAUGAUGGUUACAUGUAUUGAAAAAGAUCAAUUAAUUAAAAAUCAUAUUUCAAAAAUUAAGCCAUAAAAGAAAUAAAGACAAAGGAGUUUUCUAAAAUAUUUAAAAUUAAGAUUUAAGAAGUGAAACAUAUUAGUUUUGUUAUUAUAUGGAUAAGUCGAAUAAUUACGAAUCAUAUUGUAAAAAAAAAAAAAAAAAAAUCAUUUUCUCAAAUUUUUUAAAUUUUGAUAAGAAUUAAAGAACACUAGGUAAGAUUUUGUUUUUUCUUUCAUACGAAAGUUCCUAUAUGUUAUGUAGAAAAUUUUAAUUUUAAAAAUAAAAAUUGGAAAGUAUGAUGGUUACAUUUUGUGGAAAAAUAGAGAAAAAAGAAAAAAAAAUUACAACCAUAAUUGAAUUUGUACCCAUGGAAAAUAAUCGUAAAAUUAGUGUAGACCCCCCUAGAGGUGACAAGUUUCUGCAUUUUGCUAUUAUUAUUUUAUUCAACCCGAGGAUGGGCUGUAUGGAAGGCGGCGAGACAAGACUGGAAAGGAGGACUGAUGUGAGGGGCCUAGGGCAGAGAAAAAGAGAGGCUGCCAGGAGAAAAGGAGAGGAAGGAUUUUUUUGGGGGAAAAACCAGGAAGAGCUAUCGGGGGGGUUUUUCUUCAGGCGGGUUCCAGAGGAGAGACCUUGCUGGCGGCGAGACCACUUCGACUCCGCUGGGGGAAUCUCUCAGGUUUGACUUUCCGGCACUUAGGUUCUCCAUUUUUACAGUCACACCAUGCCUCAUAUUGACCUAUGGCUUUUUUUAUUUUUUUUAUUUUUGCUGUUGGUAUGUGGAUGCUUGUUUUGGCCAUCAAAGGUCUCGUUUGUUUGAUUUUUGCUUCACUUGCAUGAGUUACAUAAGGGAUACGCUGCUGUUCAUGUGUUAAAUCCACUCGAAAUUUCCUCUUAGCUUUCAAAUCUUUUCGAUCUUCAUGCAUCCUCUUCUACCGCCGUCCUAGUUGUUAUUGUCUUGGAGAAGAUUAUCGUCACCCUUAGAUCUCCCUCCAAACCUCCCUCACCCCCUUCCACGACCCCGGCAUCCUCCACUCUGUCGGCCGGCAUUCCGAGGGUCACCUCCGGCGCGCCCAGGAGGCGGCGGCUGCUGCUGCUGCAUGCCGCCAUAGUUGCCCUCCAGUCCGUCGUCGGAUCCAAGCGUCAUUCAGAUGGCGGCGAUUGAGGUGCUGAAACUCCAGCCGGUGCUGGUGAUAUUGGAGGUGCGGAGAUGGAACCUGAGAAGCCCAUGGUUUCUCUUGGGGACCUUUGGGCGGAGAAGUCGUGGGUGGCAGCGCCUGCAUGGGAGAUGCCCGCAAUGGCUAAUGGGCUUGAGGGCUUAGGUGAUUUUGCUGUUGGUUUUGAGCUUGUGAUGAAGCCCAGGCCCAAACGGAAGGAUAAAAAAUAAUAAUGAGGAAAAGAAGGCCUCACUGAGUUAUUCACCCAUUUUAAAAUUAGCCCAUUUGCUUGCAUCUACUUUAUAUGAAUCAUUCUCUUUAAAGCACUAAUUUCUUAAUAAAUUUUUUAACUUCCAAUUCCCAAGCCCAAUUUAUAAAAUUUUAACCUUCAAAUAAUACUUCAAAAUUCCAACAUUUAAAAUUCAAUUCCAAUUUCCGAAAAUUCUCAUACUCACUUUAAUUUAUUUAAUCACUAAUACUUUAUUCAUUUAUUUUAAAACUCCAUUCUUAAUCUAUUUAUUUAAAAUUUCUGUUUGCCGAAUUAAAUUCCGAAAACUCCCAUACUCAUUUUAAUUUAUUUAAUCACUAAUACUUUAUUCAUUUAUUUUUAAAACUCCAUUCUUAAUCUAUUCUUUAAAAUUUCCAUUUACCGAAUUAAAUUCCGAAAAUUCCUAUACUCACUUUAAUUUAUUUAAUCACUAAUACUUUAUUCAUUUAUUUUUAAAACUCCAUUCUUAAUCUAUUCUUUAAAAUUUCCAUUUACCGAAUUAAAUUCCGAAAAUUCCUAUACUCACCUUAAUUUAUUUAAUCACUAAUACUUUAUUCAUUUAUUUUAAAACUCCAUUCUUAAUCUAUUUAUUUAAAAUUUCUGUUUGCCGAAUUAAAUUCCGAAAAUUCUCACUUUAAUUUAUUUAAUCACUAAUACUUUAUUCAUUUAUUUUAAAACUCCAUUCUUAAUCUAUUCUUUAAAAUUUCUGUUUACCGAAUUAAAUUUCUAUUUUUGAAAAUUCCAAUAUUCACAUUAAUCUAUUUAAUUAUUAUUAUUUUAUUUAUUUAUUCUAAAAUUCUAUUUUAAACAAUUCAUUUAAAACUUUCGAUUUCUGAAUUAAAUUUUUAUUUCUGAAAAUUUCACUAUUCGCAUUAAUUUAUUUAAUUAUUAUGUUAUUUAUUUAUUCUAAAAUUCCAUUUUAAACAAUUCAUUAAAAUUUCCGACUUCCGAUUUUAAUUUCUAAUUCCAAAAACGCUAAUAUUCACAUUAAUCUAUUUAAUUAUUAUUAUUUUAUUUAUUUAUUCUAAAAUUCUAUUUUAAACAAUUCAUUUAAAACUUUCGACUUUCGAAUUAAAUUUCUAUUUCUGAAAAUUUCAAUAUUCACAUUAGUUCAUUUAAUUAUUAUUAUUUUAUUUAUUUAUUCUAAAGUUCCGUUUUAAACAACUCAUUAAAAUUUCCGACUUCCGAUUUUAAUUUCUAAUUCCAAAAACGCUAAUAUUCACAUUAAUCUAUUUAAUUAUUAUUAUUUUAUUUAUUUAUUCUAAAAUUCUAUUUUAAACAAUUCAUUUAAAACUUUCGACUUCCGAAUUAAAUUUCUAUUUCUGAAAAUUUCAAUAUUCACAUUAGUUCAUUUAAUUAUUAUUAUUUUAUUUAUUUAUUCUAAAGUUCCGUUUUAAACAACUCAUUAAAAUUUCCGACUUCUGAUUUAAUUUCUAAUUUCAAAAUUCCAAUACUCACAUUAAUCUAUUUAAUUAUUAUUAUUUUAGUUAUUUAUUUCGAAAUUCCAUUUUAAACAAUUCUUCAAAAUUCAAAAUUCGGAACUUAAUUUCCAAUUUCCAAAAUUCUAAUUUCUUUCAAAUUUAAUAUCCAAAAUUCCAAUUCUUAAAUUUAAUUCUCAAGACUCCAAUCUUCAAAUAAUUUUCGAGACUCCGAUUUCCAAAUAAAUAUCCAAAAUCAAGUUUUCACUCCAAUAGUUUUAAUUCCAUUUCGGUUCUUAAAUAAUCUUCUGAUCUUCUUGAUUUUACAUAAGCAAUAAUGAAUUCUUCAUAAUUCUAAAACACGGAAUUUGUGAGACUAGUUCAUGAACAAUAAAUUGGGCUUUGGUGGAGGGGGGCCAUAUGAUUGAUCCCUAUUGAUUGUCAACUGUUGUGCUUGAUAUAUUUUGCUUGAUCUACAUUUUGCGCUCCGAUAUGCAUGAGCUAUAAUUCGUAUUCGUUAAUUGUGUACUAAUCCCGUUUCUUGAUAGCGCAUUGUGGCUCGUGGCUCAGGUACGCAUACACUUUCAUUUCGAUCAUUCUCUAUGCAUGUUCCGAUUUUCAUAUGUGCAUGAUUUGACUUAGGCAUCCAUUGACUUUCUUAUUGAUUGCCACGUCGACUUCAUUUUAUUAGUAGAGACCCGACUUUAGGGGCUUAGAGGGGUGCUACGGUCUUUACCGUACCUUCCCGAUGAGUAACCUGACCCCCGAACCCGAUCCGGUUUUUUUUCACAGACCACCUUUUCCAAAAUAAGGAGUCACACUUAGGGUUUUUCUUUCUUAUUUUGUUUACCCUUUAAAAAUAAAACAAAAAUAAGUGGCGACUCCAAGUCAUUUUCUUAAACAAUAAAAAAAUCAAAUUUUCAAAUGAAAAUCAAGCUCGCCAUCGAGUGGGAAACGCAUUGAGCCGAAAUGCGAGGUCCACAAUUAGCUUUUUAAAAAUGGAUAUUUGGUUAAGAGGUUUAGAAUAAUCCCUAAUUAAAAAAAAACUUUUUUUAAUGACAAAUUAAUCUUAGUUAAAUUCAUAAUAAAUAAAAUUUAAUAAAAAAGAAUAUUGGAGUGAGAAUGAGUAGAUGUGUUAUAGAAAAAUGGUGACAUAAAGAGGAGGAUUUAAGUGGAAAGAUUUCGUGUUUGGAGGCCGAGAAAAUAAAAAAGGACAAAAUUGUUUUUGGAAAACAAAAAAACAAAAAAACAAAAAAAACAAAAAAAUGGGAAAUGAAAAAGAAAGGUAAUUUCGGGAGAGGUUAUUUUGACAGGUUGGAGUGUCAUUUUGAAGCAUGUUUCUGCAAAUCCCUGCCCUGUGAAUCACCAAAAUCUUCCUAAACUCCAUUCCUUGUAGUUAUUCACCAAUGUUCCGUUUUCUCCUCAACUCCAAUUCAACUCUUCUUCGCAUCUUCUCCUUCAGACCGCUCUCCUCCGCCACCGCCACCUCCACCGUAGAUUACCUCACAAAUACCCUGGGCUUUGCCCGCGAGUCAGCCGUCGCUGUCGCCGAGGAACUCAACAUCAAAACCACCACCAGGCCCGAUUUAGUUGUCCAACUUUUCAAAAGCUACGGUUUCACCCCAACUCACAUCGCCACCAUCGU